Molecule: ribosomal RNA, 293 nt
Filed under: uncultured bacterium
Lineage: Bacteria
Description: partial 16S ribosomal RNA
Rfam family: Archaeal small subunit ribosomal RNA
Source: RNAcentral
GUGCCAGCAGCCGCGGUAAUACCGGCAGCCCGAGUGAUGGCCGAUCUUAUUGGGCCUAAAGCGUCCGUAGCUGGCUACGCAAGUCCGUCGGGAAAUCCACCUGCUCAACGGGCGGCCGUCCGGCGGAACCUGUGUGGCUUGGGACCGGGAGGCCUGAGGGGUACGAUCGGGGUAGGAGUGAAAUCCCGUAAUCCCGAACGGACCACCGAUGGCGAAAGCAUCUCGAGAAAACGGAUCCGACAGUGAGGGACGAAAGCUAGGGUCUCGAACCGGAUUAGAUACCCUGGUAGUCC